This is an RNA transcript of Panicum virgatum (switchgrass), 2001 nucleotides long. It is a transcript of the gene named phospho-2-dehydro-3-deoxyheptonate aldolase 1, chloroplastic-like, with no coding region annotated. The transcript is spliced from 5 exons. The record is from RefSeq and is a predicted model, not a curated record. NCBI's taxonomy places the organism in Eukaryota, Viridiplantae, Streptophyta, Magnoliopsida, Poales, Poaceae.
ACGCAGGAGACACCGCGCCCGCCACACGCACGCAUCGCCCUCUCCUCCACUACCCAAAACUCCUCGCUUCCGAUUAGAUUGUCCGAUCCUAACCGCCCGCAUUCUGUUAGCAAUGGCGCUCGCCACCAAUGCCGCCGCCGCGGCAGCUGCCAUGUCCGGCGCGGCCGCGUCGCAGCCCCGUCCACACGCACCAGCGUUCCUCCCGCUGAGGCGCCGCUGCGCCGUCCGUGCCGUGCACGCCGCGGAGCCGUCCAAGGGCCACGGCGUCCCGGCGGCCGCAAAGACCUCGUCGCCCACGGUCGCGCCCGAGAAGGAGGCGGCCCCGGCUCCGUCCCCGGCCGCGAAGGCGCUCCCGAAGUGGUCGGUGGACAGCUGGAGGGCGAAGAAGGCGCUGCAGCUGCCGGAGUACCCGAACCCGGCGAAGCUCGAGACCGUGCUCAAGACGAUCGAGGCCUUCCCGCCGAUCGUGUUCGCCGGGGAGGCGCGCCACCUGGAGGAGCGCCUCGCCGACGCCGCCAUGGGCCGCGCCUUCCUCCUCCAGGGCGGCGACUGCGCCGAGAGCUUCAAGGAGUUCAACAGCGACAACAUCCGUGACACCUUCCGCGUCAUCCUCCAGAUGUCCGCCGUCCUCAUGUUCGGCGCCCAAAUGCCGGUCAUCAAGGUUGGUAGGACGGCCGGGCAGUUCGCCAAGCCGAGGUCGGAGCCGUUCGAGGUCAGGGAUGGAGUGAAGCUGCCCAGCUACCGGGGCGACAACAUCAACGGCGAGGCGUUCGACGAGAAGAGCCGCGUCCCCGACCCCCAGAGGAUGAUCCGGGCGUACACCCAAUCCGCCGCCACGCUCAACCUGCUCCGCGCGCUGGCCACCGGAGGGUACGCCGCCAUGCAGCGCGUCACCCAGUGGAACCUCGAUUUCACCGAGCACAGCGAGCAGGGCGACAGGUACCGUGAAUUGGCACAUCGGGUUGAUGAAGCACUCGGCUUCAUGUCUGCAGCUGGGCUAACAGCGGACCACCCGUUGAUGAAGACAACUGAGUUCUGGACCUCACACGAGUGCCUUCUCCUACCCUAUGAACAGGCUCUAACCCGUCAGGACUCCACCUCUGGUCUUUUCUAUGAUUGCUCUGCCCACAUGCUCUGGGUUGGUGAGCGCACUCGCCAACUUGACGGUGCGCAUGUUGAGUUCCUCAGGGGUAUUGCCAACCCUCUUGGCAUCAAGGUGAGUGACAAAAUGAACCCUAGUGAUUUGGUGAAGCUGAUCGAGAUCUUGAAUCCAUCAAACAAGCCUGGGAGAAUUACCGUCAUUACAAGGAUGGGGGCGGAGAACAUGAGGGUCAAGUUGCCUCAUCUUAUCCGUGCUGUCCGCCAGGCUGGACUAAUUGUCACCUGGAUCACUGAUCCCAUGCAUGGGAACACGAUCAAGGCUCCUUGCGGCCUAAAGACUCGUCCCUUCGACUCCAUUUUGGCUGAGGUACGAGCCUUUUUCGAUGUGCACGAACAAGAGGGAAGUCACCCAGGAGGCGUCCACCUUGAGAUGACUGGGCAAAAUGUAACUGAAUGCAUCGGUGGAUCACGCACAGUAACCUUUGAUGACCUGAGCGACCGCUACCACACUCAUUGUGAUCCAAGGUUGAACGCGUCCCAGUCUCUUGAGCUCUCAUUCAUCAUCGCUGAGAGGCUGAGGAAUAGGAGGAUCCGGUCAUCAUCUAUGCUCAACAAACAUCUUACCUUUGUCACCUUUUAGUUUCUGAAUGGGUAGAAAAGGCCAGUAAGAGAAAUGUGUGUAUUCCAUUUGUUGGAGGUUGCUCUUGGGUUGAACUGUAUGCCUAUGAGCUAUCCACGCUCCGAGGUGGAUUUGUUUGAAUUUUUUAUCUUUUGCAUGAUUAAACACUGUGUAAUGGUACAUAUGACUGCACUCGCCGACACUAAGUUUUCUAUUUAUAUUAUACCAUGUAUAAGAGAAUAAUCAUGCAAUAUAGCUGAGUUGGCUUUGUGAAUAAGUUA